AAUGGGCGAAAGCCUGACGGAGCGACACCGCGUGGAGGAUGAAGUUUUUAGGAACGUAAACUCCUUUCGACAGGGACGAAUAAAUUGACGGUACCUGUAGAAGAAGCAUCGGCUAACUACGUGCCAGCAGCCGCGGUAAUACGUAGGAUGCAAGCGUUGUUCGGAAUUACUGGGCGUAAAGAGUACGUAGGCGGUGACGUAAGUCUGAUAUUAAAGACCGAGGCUUAACUUCGGGAAUGGAUCGGAAACUGCGUUGCUAGAGGCAGACAGAGGAUGCCGGAAUUCCCAGUGUAGCGGUGAAAUGCGUAGAUAUUGGGAAGAACACCGGAGGCGAAAGCGGGCAUCUGGGUCUGUAACUGACGCUGAGGCGCGAAAGCGUGGGGAGCAAA
RNAcentral lists this ribosomal RNA (389 nucleotides) under uncultured bacterium. Its description in RNAcentral is "bacterial SSU rRNA". It matches the Rfam family "Bacterial small subunit ribosomal RNA", at positions 370 to 772 of the family's 1533-position model. The record is from RNAcentral.